Molecule: ribosomal RNA, 22 nt
Filed under: Clasmatodon parvulus
Lineage: Eukaryota; Viridiplantae; Streptophyta; Bryopsida; Hypnales; Brachytheciaceae
Description: partial 26S ribosomal RNA
Source: RNAcentral
CAGACCUCUAAUCGGAAAAGUA